ACAUAGCCCUGAACGAGGACCUGAGCUCCUGGACUGCAGCGAACGCAGUGGCUCAGGCCACCCGGCGCAAGUGGGAGGCGGCUGGUGCCUCCGAGCCAUGGAGAGCCUACCUGGAGGGCCCUUGCGUGGAGUGGCUUGGCAAAUAUCUGGAGAACGGGAAGGAGACGUUGCUGCGCACAGGUGCAAGGGACCUCAGGGAACCUCCCCAUCUGUCCUGGGAUUGGGACCGACAUCUCCCGCUGAGGAGAGGA
This 251-nucleotide long non-coding RNA is filed under the name Marmota monax (woodchuck). The record is from RNAcentral. Lineage: Eukaryota; Metazoa; Chordata; Mammalia; Rodentia; Sciuridae.